CAAUCAGUGGAAGAGGCAGCAGUGCGAUUUUUCAAAAUCGCGUCGCGGUGUGACUUUACAAGGAAUUUAUCAAAAGUUUUCGAAGCCUUUAGAAAUCCGUUGAGUGUCUGUGCUUGUGAAAUAAAGCUCAAACAGCCGUUCGACGGCUGUUUGUUAGGGAUUAUUGUCCCAGGUAGACACUCCAUGGAAGCUCGGCGCAUCGCACUCAAUCGGCUGGACGCACUUCUGACCCCAUGGUUGGAGUCCAAGUUUCCCGACAAGGCUAUUUCCGUCGGAAGGAAGUGCUACGUCACUACAGCACUCCGGACAGAGCAAGCAGAGCGAUAAAGUUUACGCUUAAGAGAAUGGAGACGCACAUGGCACGUAAUGGUUAGGGA
Long non-coding RNA from Toxorhynchites rutilus septentrionalis, 377 nucleotides. RefSeq lists it as uncharacterized. The record is from RefSeq and is a predicted model, not a curated record. The transcript has 3 exons. NCBI's taxonomy places the organism in Eukaryota, Metazoa, Arthropoda, Insecta, Diptera, Culicidae.